CUGGGUUCAGGACCUCGCGUCCACUCACCCGCCCUUUGUCAUGAGACGCGCAAGCAACUCACAUCAUUUCGGCUCCUGGCUCUUGGGUACCCCCGCUGUUAAUUUGGCGGGGUACUACCUGUUAGUCGCGGGUCGGCAUUGCAAACCCACGCGGAUUACUGAAGUCUGAUACAAAUUUUAAACGAAAUUA
This 190-nucleotide unclassified non-coding RNA is filed under the name uncultured Troposporella. RNAcentral's name for it is "sequence contains ITS1". Lineage: Eukaryota; Fungi; Ascomycota. The record is from RNAcentral.